This is a long non-coding RNA of Amblyraja radiata (thorny skate), 144 nucleotides long. RefSeq lists it as uncharacterized. The transcript is spliced from 3 exons. Lineage: Eukaryota; Metazoa; Chordata; Chondrichthyes; Rajiformes; Rajidae. The record is from RefSeq and is a predicted model, not a curated record.
ACACUUUUAAAAACAUCCCACUUUCCUGACGUUCCUUUUCCAUCAAACAAUCGGCUCCAAUCAACUUCAGCGAGUGCCUGUCUCAUACCCUCAAAGUUGGCCUUGCCCCAAUUGAGCAUUUUAACAUCUUGGGCCUGCUCUCUC